AGCUUGCUCCUUUGACGUUAGCGGCGGACGGGUGAGUAACACGUGGGUAACCUACCUAUAAGACUGGGAUAACUUCGGGAAACCGGAGCUAAUACCGGAUAACAUUUGGAACCGCAUGGUUCUAAAGUGAAAGAUGGUUUUGCUAUCACUUAUAGAUGGACCCGCGCCGUAUUAGCUAGUUGGUAAGGUAACGGCUUACCAAGGCGACGAUACGUAGCCGACCUGAGAGGGUGAUCGGCCACACUGGAACUGAGACACGGUCCAGACUCCUACGGGAGGCAGCAGUAGGGAAUCUUCCGCAAUGGGCGAAAGCCUGACGGAGCAACGCCGCGUGAGUGAUGAAGGGUUUCGGCUCGUAAAACUCUGUUAUUAGGGAAGAACAAAUGUGUAAGUAACUGUGCACGUCUUGACGGUACCUAAUCAGAAAGCCACGGCUAACUACGUGCCAGCAGCCGCGGUAAUACGUAGGUGGCAAGCGUUAUCCGGAAUUAUUGGGCGUAAAGCGCGCGUAGGCGGUUUCUUAAGUCUGAUGUGAAAGCCCACGGCUCAACCGUGGAGGGUCAUUGGAAACUGGGAAACUUGAGUGCAGAAGAGGAAAGUGGAAUUCCAUGUGUAGCGGUGAAAUGCGCAGAGAUAUGGAGGAACACCAGUGGCGAAGGCGACUUUCUGGUCUGUAACUGACGCUGAUGUGCGAAAGCGUGGGGAUCAAACAGGAUUAGAUACCCUGGUAGUCCACGCCGUAAACGAUGAGUGCUAAGUGUUAGGGGGUUUCCGCCCCUUAGUGCUGCAGCUAACGCAUUAAGCACUCCGCCUGGGGAGUACGACCGCAAGGUUGAAACUCAAAGGAAUUGACGGGGACCCGCACAAGCGGUGGAGCAUGUGGUUUAAUUUGAAGCAACGCGAAGAACCUUACCAAAUCUUGACAUCCUUUGAAAACUCUAGAGAUAGAGCUUUCCCCUUCGGGGGACAAAGUGACAGGUGGUGCAUGGUUGUCGUCAGCUCGUGUCGUGAGAUGUUGGGUUAAGUCCCGCAACGAGCGCAACCCUUAAGCUUAGUUGCCAUCAUUAAGUUGGGCACUCUAGGUUGACUGCCGGUGACAAACCGGAGGAAGGUGGGGAUGACGUCAAAUCAUCAUGCCCCUUAUGAUUUGGGGUACACACGUGCUACAAUGGACAAUACAAAGGGCAGCUAAACCGCGAGGUCAUGCAAAUCCCAUAAAGUUGUUUUCAGUUCGGAUUGUAGUCUGCAACUCGACUACAUGAAGCUGGAAUCGCUAGUAAUCGUAGAUCAGCAUGCUACGGUGAAUACGUUCCCGGGUCUUGUACACACCGCCCGUCACACCACGAGAGUUUGUAACACCCGAAGCCGGUGGAGUAACCAUUUAUGGAGAUAGCCUUUUUUAAGGGGGCACAAAAAGUU
RNAcentral lists this ribosomal RNA (1419 nucleotides) under Staphylococcus saprophyticus. RNAcentral's name for it is "bacterial SSU rRNA". It matches the Rfam family "Bacterial small subunit ribosomal RNA". Lineage: Bacteria; Bacillati; Bacillota; Bacilli; Caryophanales; Staphylococcaceae. The record is from RNAcentral.